RNAcentral lists this ribosomal RNA (494 nucleotides) under uncultured bacterium. RNAcentral's name for it is "bacterial SSU rRNA". It matches the Rfam family "Bacterial small subunit ribosomal RNA", at positions 28 to 521 of the family's 1533-position model. The record is from RNAcentral.
GAUGAACGCUAGCGGCAGGCUUAACACAUGCAAGUCGAGGGGUAGAGGAAGCUUGCUUCCUUGAGACCGGCGCACGGGUGCGUAACGCGUAUACAAUCUACCUUUUACAGAGGGAUAGCCCCAGAGAAAUUUGGAUUAAUACCUCAUAGUAUUUUCGGAUCGCAUGAUUUGAUUAUUAAAGUUCCAACGGUAAAAGAUGAGUAUGCGUCCCAUUAGCUAGUUGGUAAGGUAACGGCUUACCAAGGCUACGAUGGGUAGGGUCCUGAGAGGGAGAUCCCCCACACUGGUACUGAGACACGGACCAGACUCCUACGGGAGGCAGCAGUGAGGAAUAUUGGACAAUGGGCGCAAGCCUGAUCCAGCCAUGCCGCGUGCAGGAUGACGGUCCUAUGGAUUGUAAACUGCUUUUGUACAGGAAGAAACACUACUUCGUGAAGUAGCUUGACGGUACUGUAAGAAUAAGGAUCGGCUAACUCCGUGCCAGCAGCCGCGGU